AAAAUGUUUCCCCCCAUGGUCACAAUCAUGAAAGACAGUGGAAUAGAAGAAUCCAGCACUCACCAGCUCCUCCAUGUGAUGGAACCAAAGCAACAGGUGUGUGGCUGCAUAUUGAGAUUUCUUCAAUGUGACCUGUGUGAGCAGUGCCACCCAAGGGUGCUACAUAUUGGAGCUCUGGGAAGGUUCAUGCUGAGAGCACAAAUAAGUGGGGACAAAUGCAAGUGUGGAGUCAGAACUUGCAGGUUGAGCAGAGAAGAAAAAUAUUGUCAAUUGACCAUGUGUGUUUACAAAUGCCACCCUGAGAUUGAACUUUUAAAGUUUUAUAAAUACUUCCUUAUUGACGUAACCCCUUUUUGUGUAAGGAUGAAUAAACUUUAGAUCUUAGUUUAUUUUCAUAUGACCAAAUGUCAUAUGUGCAUAUAUUAAAA
Molecule: long non-coding RNA, 428 nt
Filed under: Ictidomys tridecemlineatus (thirteen-lined ground squirrel)
Lineage: Eukaryota; Metazoa; Chordata; Mammalia; Rodentia; Sciuridae
Description: lncRNA (ENSSTOG00000031339.1)
Source: RNAcentral